UACAGAGGGUGCGAGCGUUAAUCGGAAUUACUGGGCGUAAAGCGCACGUAGGUGGCGACGUAAGUCGGGUGUGAAAGCCCCGGGCUCAACCUGGGAAUUGCAUUCGAGACUGCAUUGCUGGAGUACGGAAGAGGAAGGCGGAAUUCCCGGUGUAGCGGUGAAAUGCGUAGAUAUCGGGAGGAACAUCAGUGGCGAAGGCGGCCUUCUGGUCCAGUACUGACACUCAAGUGCGAAAGCGUGGGGAGCAAACGGG
This 253-nucleotide ribosomal RNA is filed under the name uncultured bacterium. Its description in RNAcentral is "partial 16S ribosomal RNA". It matches the Rfam family "Bacterial small subunit ribosomal RNA", at positions 524 to 776 of the family's 1533-position model. The record is from RNAcentral.